UUUGUAAACAUGGUUGGUGUCAUUGUUUAUACCAGUCAUAACAUAACACUUUCUAAUCGCGGAAAGAGUAAUUUAUAGAAAAUAAGUAACUAUUGGAGUGCCUUUGGAGUUUUUAAUACAGUUUUCAUUUACAAUGUACAUGCUGUCAUAAAAUCUAUUAAUUAUAUGUUGCAAAUGGUUCUGUAACAUAACCUCAACUGUGGCUGUUCCUGGUGCUUAGGUUAUGAUGGUGCUUUGUAUUUUUUAUUCAUAUUAAGGGUACAGUGGUAUUGUUUAGGGUAUAAUCAGUGGAAAUUAGGUUUUCGAACUGGUUAUUUUAAUUUACAGACAUAUACAGGAUAAUUUAAAGAUAUGAAGAUCCCAAAGUUACCACUGGACAUUAAGGUCCCUGCUACGGUUCUGGCACGCCGCCAUGCCGUCUGUUUGGUGUGGAACAACCCGCAGCACUGGCUACUACUGGAGUAUUCUUCACCAAACAUUUGCUCUAUGGGUCAUCCAGUCAAUAAAGGACAUUACAGAUAAGUGUUACGACUGUUACAAGGUUACCGCACAAGGCCACAGUUGCGUGGAAGUGGGAACUACUGACUUCACCAUCGUAACGCUCCAGCACCGACAUUAGGAACAAGAAACAUAAACAAACUAAGGACACAAAAACAAAAUGAAAAGUUGUUUCAACCAAUGUCCUUAGUUUAAAUUAAAGUAUUUAAUCAAGUGACGGCUAUUUUUUUUACUAUUUAAGUUGUGAUACCUUUGAUAUACGCCUCGAAUACCUUUUUACUUACGGCUUUUUGGACAUCGUACACCAGACAGGGCUAGUUCAUUUUUUUUUAUAUUUGGAGAACACUCAAUUCACAACAAUAAUAAUAUAAAUGGAUACAUAACGGAAUAGACACAGUAUAGCACGUGUAACAGUAAAGGUGUAACUAUAUAAAAAACGUUGAAGUAAUGAUUUUUAUGUGUAAACAAAAUAAUUAUGCAGGUAUGAAGAGAGUAAUAUAAAUACCAAGUAAGUAGUAACAAACAGUAUAUAAAUUAAUAGUGAAAUACGACAUUAGAUGGGUAUAAACCACAGCUAAGUAACGUUCCAUGUAAAAUGUGUCAUGUUACGCAAUAUAAUGUGUGUAGCACGUUUUAACGUGUAGAUUUAUUGUUGGUGUAUGACAUAAGGUCCUCGGGUAAACCUGGACCUACAAAACGAAAAAUUGAUCGAAAGGUUUAUGUUACCUACGGAGCUUUCGCUGUCAUGUUGUGACUACUCAUAUGUGUUUGAAUGGAGGCCGUAAGAAACUCAAUGUCUUAACAUUGGUGAUUUCCUUCCAGAGACAUUUGGUUAAUAAUCUAAAAGGUCGUUUAGUAAUGAUGCUAUCUUGAUGCUUGUGGUACGACGAUGUCUUGGGAUCGAUCGAAGAAUUCAUCAACCAUUGACGAGAACGCUUGAUGAAACUUUCAGCAUUUGCAAAAUGAAACGGAAACAACAGUCUUUAUGGUCAGUCGACAGUGUCAGCUGUUCCGCGGGCGUGCGACAGCAGCCAGUACCACGUGACUGGUCACGUGAUGCCCCCUCCCCUCGCUCACCGAUAUGCCACUGAUAUAGCGGUUCGUGUAUUUCUGACACACUAUUGUCAAAAUGCGGACGGAGUCUCGUCUGUUUGUUGUGAUAGAACAAGUUAGUCAAUCCUUUUCUCCAUUCCCUAAUAAGUUUGUUGAAUUCUUAUUAUUUUUCU
This 1724-nucleotide long non-coding RNA is filed under the name Homalodisca vitripennis (glassy-winged sharpshooter). Its description in RNAcentral is "uncharacterized LOC124363767, transcript variant X1". Lineage: Eukaryota; Metazoa; Arthropoda; Insecta; Hemiptera; Cicadellidae. The record is from RNAcentral.